RNAcentral lists this ribosomal RNA (508 nucleotides) under uncultured Acidobacteriota bacterium. Its description in RNAcentral is "bacterial SSU rRNA". It matches the Rfam family "Bacterial small subunit ribosomal RNA", at positions 1 to 521 of the family's 1533-position model. The record is from RNAcentral. Lineage: Bacteria; Pseudomonadati; Acidobacteriota.
AAAAAAAAGAGUUUGAUCGUGGCUCAGAAUCAACGCUGGCGGCGUGCCUCAGACAUGCAAGUCGAACGAUUAAAGCUCUCUUCGGAGAGUGCAUAAAGUGGCGCACGGGUGAGUAACACGUAAGUAAUCUACCUUCGAGUGGGGAAUAACGUCCGGAAACGGACGCUAAUACCGCAUAAUGCAGCGGCACCUAAUGGUGACAGUUGUUAAAGGAGUAAUUCGCUUGAAGAGGAGCUUGCGGCAGAUUAGCUAGUUGGUAAGGUAAUGGCUUACCAAGGCUACGAUCUGUAACCGGUCUAAGAGGACGGUCGGUCACACUGACACUGAACAACGGGUCAGACUCCUACGGGAGGCAGCAGUCGGGAAUUUUGGGCAAUGGGCGAAAGCCUGACCCAGCAACGCCGCGUGAAGGAUGAAGUAUUUCGGUAUGUAAACUUCGAAAGAAUGGGAAGAAUAAAUGACGGUACCAUUUAUAAGGUCCGGCUAACUACGUGCCAGCAGCCGCGGU